AGAUUGAACGCUGGCGGCAGGCCUAACACAUGCAAGUCGAGCGGCAGCACGGGUACUUGUACCUGGUGGCGAGCGGCGGACGGGUGAGUAAUGCCUAGGAAUCUGCCUGAUAGGUGGGGGAUAACGCUCGGAAACGGACGCUAAUACCGCAUACGUCCUACGGGAGAAAGCAGGGGACCUUCGGGCCUUGCGCUAUCAGAUGAGCCUAGGUCGGAUUAGCUAGUUGGUGGGGUAAUGGCUCACCAAGGCGACGAUCCGUAACUGGUCUGAGAGGAUGAUCAGUCACACUGGAACUGAGACACGGUCCAGACCUCCGUACGGGAGGCAGCAGUGGGGAAUAGUUGGACAAGUGGGACGAAAGCCUAGACUCCGAGCCAAUGCCGCGUGUGUGAAGAAGGUCUUACGGAUUGUAAAGUCUAACGUUUUAAGGUGGGUAAGGAAGGGCUAGGUUAACCUAAGUACGUAUCGUUAGGUUUUAGACCGUUACCGACAGUAAUAACGGACAACCGGUCUAACGUCGUG
RNAcentral lists this ribosomal RNA (522 nucleotides) under uncultured soil bacterium. RNAcentral describes it as "bacterial SSU rRNA". It matches the Rfam family "Bacterial small subunit ribosomal RNA", at positions 26 to 507 of the family's 1533-position model. The record is from RNAcentral.